CCUACGGGAGGCAGCAGUGGGGAAUAUUGGGCAAUGGGCGAAAGCCUGACCCAGCAACGCCGCGUGAAGGAAGAAGGCUUUCGGGUUGUAAACUUCUUUUGACAGGGAAGAGCAGAAGACGGUACCUGUCGAAUAAGCCACGGCUAACUACGUGCCAGCAGCCGCGGUAAUACGUAGGUGGCAAGCGUUGUCCGGAUUUACUGGGGGUAAAGGGCGUGUAGCCGGGCUGACAAGUCAGUUGUGAAAUCCGGGGGCUCAACCCCCGAACUGCAUUUGAAACUGUUGGUCUUGAGUAUCGGAGAGGCAGGCGGAAUUCCUAGUGUAGCGGUGAAAUGCGUAGAUAUUAGGAGGAACACCAGUGGCGAAGGCGGCCUGCUGGACGACAACUGACGGUGAGGCGCGAAAGCGUGGGGAGCAAACAGGAUUAGAUACCCCAGUAGUC
This 442-nucleotide ribosomal RNA is filed under the name uncultured bacterium. RNAcentral describes it as "partial 16S ribosomal RNA". It matches the Rfam family "Bacterial small subunit ribosomal RNA", at positions 338 to 795 of the family's 1533-position model. The record is from RNAcentral.